RNAcentral lists this ribosomal RNA (253 nucleotides) under uncultured bacterium. RNAcentral describes it as "partial 16S ribosomal RNA". It matches the Rfam family "Bacterial small subunit ribosomal RNA", at positions 524 to 776 of the family's 1533-position model. The record is from RNAcentral.
UACGAAGGGGGCUAGCGUUGCUCGGAAUGACUGGGCGUAUAGGGCGCGUAGGCGGAUGGCACAGUCAGAUGUGAAAUUCCCGGGCUUAACCUGGGGGCUGCAUUUGAUACGUGUUGUCUAGAGUGAGGAAGAGGGUUGUGGAAUUCCCAGUGUAGAGGUGAAAUUCGUAGAUAUUGGGAAGAACACCGGUGGCGAAGGCGGCAACCUGGUCCUUGACUGACGCUGAGGCGCGAAAGCGUGGGGAGCAAACAGG